GUCCACGCCCUAAACGAUGUCUACUAGUUGUUGGGAGGGGAGACCCUCUUAGUAACGCAGCUAACGCGUGAAGUAGACCGCCUGGGGAGUACGGUCGCAAGAUUAAAACUCAAAGGAAUUGACGGGGCCCGCACAAGCGGUGGAUGAUGUGGAUUAAUUCGAUGCAACGCGAAAACCUUACCUACCCUUGACAUGCCAGGAACUUGCCAGAGAUGGCUCGGUGCCCGAAAGGGAACCUGGACACAGGUGCUGCAUGGCUGUCGU
RNAcentral lists this ribosomal RNA (264 nucleotides) under uncultured bacterium. Its description in RNAcentral is "partial 16S ribosomal RNA". It matches the Rfam family "Bacterial small subunit ribosomal RNA", at positions 793 to 1055 of the family's 1533-position model. The record is from RNAcentral.